This 82-nucleotide transfer RNA is filed under the name Enterococcus sulfureus. RNAcentral describes it as "tRNA-Leu". It matches the Rfam family "tRNA". Rfam says of the family: Transfer RNA (tRNA) molecules are approximately 80 nucleotides in length. Their secondary structure includes four short double-helical elements and three loops (D, anti-codon, and T loops). Lineage: Bacteria; Bacillati; Bacillota; Bacilli; Lactobacillales; Enterococcaceae. The record is from RNAcentral. RNAcentral also lists the same sequence under 4 other names.
GCGGAUGUGGCGGAAUUGGCAGACGCGUACGCUUGAGGGGCGUAUGGCUUCGGUCGUGUGGGUUCGAGUCCCAUCGUCCGCA